Molecule: long non-coding RNA, 378 nt
Filed under: Mytilus galloprovincialis (Mediterranean mussel)
Lineage: Eukaryota; Metazoa; Mollusca; Bivalvia; Mytilida; Mytilidae
Source: RNAcentral
UUUAAAUUGAGGGGGGCAAGGGGGGUCCCCAUAACAGCAAAACAGUGAAUUGAUUUGGUGAAAAACAGAUAACAAGGAAUUGAAAAGGGACAAUAACAGAUAACAGUAAAUGAAAUAUGAAAAUAAAUCUGUCCAGGACCAAUCCAGUAGAUGACUCGUAGAUCUUAGUAUAUAACUUGUGGUAUGGACCUAGAAAAUUGUAAUUUGUGUAAACAAGACGUUUCGGCCGUUGAGGCAGUUCUGCCUUGGUUGAUUUUUUCCCGUAACUUGUACAAUAAGUUAUAGUAUGGAUGUUGAAUUUUUCUGAACGAAAUUACUAGUUUCUGUUUUUGAUAUACGGAUAUUUUUAAUCUAAGGCAUUUGAGGGAUCAAUUUUUA